CAGCCGCCGCGGUAAUACGGAGGGUGCGAGCGUUAAUCGGAAUUACUGGGCGUAAAGGGUGCGUAGGUGGUUUGAUAAGUUAUCUGUGAAAUCCCUGGGCUUAACCUGGGCAGGUCAGAUAAGACUGUUGGACUCGAGUAUAGGAGAGGGUAGUGGAAUUUCCGGUGUAGCGGUGAAAUGCGUAGAGAUCGGAAGGAACACCAGUGGCGAAGGCGGCUACCUGGCCUGAUACUGACACUGAGGCACGAAAGCGUGGGGAGCAAACGGGAUUAGAUACCCCUGUAGUCCCUGUCUCUUAUAC
Molecule: ribosomal RNA, 301 nt
Filed under: uncultured bacterium
Lineage: Bacteria
Description: partial 16S ribosomal RNA
Rfam family: Bacterial small subunit ribosomal RNA
Source: RNAcentral